RNAcentral lists this ribosomal RNA (252 nucleotides) under uncultured bacterium. Its description in RNAcentral is "partial 16S ribosomal RNA". It matches the Rfam family "Bacterial small subunit ribosomal RNA", at positions 525 to 776 of the family's 1533-position model. The record is from RNAcentral.
ACGGAGGGGGUUAGCGUUGUUCGGAAUUACUGGGCGUAAAGCGUACGUAGGCGGAUCAGAAAGUUGGGGGUGAAAUCCCAGGGCUCAACCCUGGAACUGCCUCCAAAACUAUUGGUCUAGAGUUCGAGAGAGGUAAGUGGAAUUCCGAGUGUAGAGGUGAAAUUCGUAGAUAUUCGGAGGAACACCAGUGGCGAAGGCGGCUUACUGGCUCGAUACUGACGCUGAGGUACGAAAGUGUGGGGAGCAAACAGG